UGGGGAAUAUUGGACAAUGGGCGCAAGCCUGAUCCAGCCAUGCCGCGUGUGUGAAGAAGGCCUUUUGGUUGUAAAGCACUUUAAGCGAGGAGGAGGCUACUUGGAUUAAUACUCUAGGAUAGUGGACGUUACUCGCAGAAUAAGCACCGGCUAACUCUGUGCCAGCAGCCGCGGUAAUACAGAGUGUGCGAGCGUUAAUCGGAUUUACUGGGCGUAAAGCGUGCGUAGGCGGCUUCUUAAGUCGGAUGUGAAAUCCCUGAGCUUAACUUAGGAAUUGCAUUCGAUACUGGGAAGCUAGAGUAUGGGAGAGGAUGGUAGAAUUCCAGGUGUAGCGGUGAAAUGCGUAGAGAUCUGGAGGAAUACCGAUGGCGAAGGCAGCCAUCUGGCCUAAUACUGACGCUGAGGUACGAAAGCAUGGGGAGCAAACAGG
This 430-nucleotide ribosomal RNA is filed under the name Acidobacteriota bacterium. RNAcentral describes it as "Acidobacteria bacterium partial 16S ribosomal RNA". It matches the Rfam family "Bacterial small subunit ribosomal RNA", at positions 355 to 776 of the family's 1533-position model. Lineage: Bacteria; Pseudomonadati; Acidobacteriota. The record is from RNAcentral.